RNAcentral lists this ribosomal RNA (402 nucleotides) under uncultured prokaryote. Its description in RNAcentral is "bacterial SSU rRNA". It matches the Rfam family "Bacterial small subunit ribosomal RNA", at positions 355 to 774 of the family's 1533-position model. The record is from RNAcentral.
UGGGGAAUCUUGCACAAUGGGGGAAACCCUGAUGCAGCGACGCCGCGUGAACGAUGAAGCCCUUCGGGGUGUAAAGUUCUUUCGACGGGGACGAUAAUGACGGUACCCGGAGAAGAAGCUGCGGCUAACUACGUGCCAGCAGCCGCGGUAAUACGUAGGCAGCGAGCGUUGUUCGGACUUACUGGGCGGAAAGAGUGCGUAGGUGGUUAGCUAAGUUGGGUGUGAAAUCUCCCGGCUCAACUGGGAGGUUGCGCCGAAAACUGGUUGACUAGAGUGUGGGAAAGGGAAGUGGAAUUCCUGGUGUAGCGGUGAAAUGCGUAGAUAUCAGGAGGAACACCUGCGGUGUAGACGGCUUCCUGGACCAUGACUGACACUGAGGCACGAAAGCGUGGGUAGCAAACA